UGGAAGAUAAAAGUGUUUGCUAUGAUGUUAUUUGUUUUCUUCUUCGGGACUUUAGUGUUAAUGGAGACACAGUAUAAUAAAAUUAGAAUGUUAGCGUUGCUUUCUGCUCCUCAACUUCAAAACCCCAAAAUUGCGUUUUUGUUUAUAGCUCGGAAUCGUCUGCCUUUGGACAUUGUUUGGGAUGCCUUCUUUCAGGGUGACAAGGAAAAUAGAUUUUCAAUCCUGGUUCACUCACGACCAGGGUUCUUAUUGAACAAAGUAACGACAAGAUCAGCGUAUUUCUUGAAUCGCCAAAUG
RNAcentral lists this unclassified non-coding RNA (297 nucleotides) under Hevea brasiliensis (rubber tree). Lineage: Eukaryota; Viridiplantae; Streptophyta; Magnoliopsida; Malpighiales; Euphorbiaceae. The record is from RNAcentral.